RNAcentral lists this ribosomal RNA (277 nucleotides) under uncultured Lachnospiraceae bacterium. RNAcentral describes it as "partial 16S ribosomal RNA". It matches the Rfam family "Bacterial small subunit ribosomal RNA", at positions 68 to 339 of the family's 1533-position model. Lineage: Bacteria; Bacillati; Bacillota; Clostridia; Lachnospirales; Lachnospiraceae. The record is from RNAcentral.
UUGAUUUCUUCGGAAUGAAGUUUUUGUGACUGAGUGGCGGACGGGUGAGUAACGCGUGGGUAACCUGCCUCAUACAGGGGGAUAACAGUUGGAAACGACUGCUAAUACCGCAUAAGCGCACAGGAUUGCAUGAUCCAGUGUGAAAAACUCCGGUGGUACAGGAUGGACCCGCGUCUGAUUAGAUAGUUGGUGAGGUAACGGCCCACCAAGUCAACGAUCAGUAGCCGGCCUGAGAGGGCGAACGGCCACAUUGGGACUGAGACACGGCCCAAACUCC